Molecule: ribosomal RNA, 475 nt
Filed under: Nipponacmea fuscoviridis
Lineage: Eukaryota; Metazoa; Mollusca; Gastropoda; Lottiidae
Description: partial 12S ribosomal RNA
Rfam family: Bacterial small subunit ribosomal RNA
Source: RNAcentral
UCUGGGAUUAGAUACCCUGUUAUUCCACAGCUGAAAUCCGUCAUUUACUGCCUGGGGACUACGAGGGAACCUUUAAAACCCGAGGGACUUGGCGGUGCACUAUACCUCCCAGGGGAACCUGGCCCUUAAUUCGAUGAUCCACGAAUCUCUUACCUUUCCUUGUUUAAGCAUGCCCUGAUUGGGGCAUGUUUCUAUCAGUUUGCAUACCGCCGUUUUCAGCUUGUAUCGCGAGAUAAAAGAAACAGGCUAAUCAGCACUGUGAGCAUGGCCUGCUGGUGACAGGCAGGUGAUGGCACUGCUAGGAAUUCAGGUAAACGUGUAGCCAAUGGAAAGGGGGCGCUGGGUUACAAUUGAGGUUUGAAGUGGAUGGCAGCCCGAAGGGGCUGUUUGAAAGCGUACUUGGAAGUAAUGGCUUUGGGCAAUGAAGCCGUGAAUGGUGCUCUGGUGUGUGUACAAAUCGCCCGUCACUCUCUGA